Molecule: ribosomal RNA, 1707 nt
Filed under: Salmonella enterica
Lineage: Bacteria; Pseudomonadati; Pseudomonadota; Gammaproteobacteria; Enterobacterales; Enterobacteriaceae
Description: partial 23S ribosomal RNA
Rfam family: Bacterial large subunit ribosomal RNA
Source: RNAcentral
UAAGCCUGCGAAGGUGGCCUGUGAGGGUUGCUGGAGGUAUCAGAAGUGCGAAUGCUGACAUAAGUAACGAUAAAGCGGGUGAAAAGCCCGCUCGCCGGAAGACCAAGGGUUCCUGUCCAACGUUAAUCGGGGCAGGGUGAGUCGACCCCUAAGGCGAGGCCGAAAGGCGUAGUCGAUGGGAAACGGGUUAAUAUUCCCGUACUUGGUGUUACUGCGAAGGGGGGACGGAGAAGGCUAUGUUGGCCGGGCGACGGUUGUCCCGGUUUAAGCGUGUAGGUGUGUGUUCCAGGUAAAUCCGGUUCACUUUAACACUGAGGCGUGACGACGAGGCACUACGGUGCUGAAGCAACAAAUGCCCUGCUUCCAGGAAAAGCCUCUAAGCAUCAGGUAACAUCAAAUCGUACCCCAAACCGACACAGGUGGUCAGGUAGAGAAUACCAAGGCGCUUGAGAGAACUCGGGUGAAGGAACUAGGCAAAAUGGUGCCGUAACUUCGGGAGAAGGCACGCUGACACGUAGGUGAAGUGAUUUACUCAUGGAGCUGAAGUCAGUCGAAGAUACCAGCUGGCUGCAACUGUUUAUUAAAAACACAGCACUGUGCAAACACGAAAGUGGACGUAUACGGUGUGACGCCUGCCCGGUGCCGGAAGGUUAAUUGAUGGGGUCAGCGCAAGCGAAGCUCCUGAUCGAAGCCCCGGUAAACGGCGGCCGUAACUAUAACGGUCCUAAGGUAGCGAAAUUCCUUGUCGGGUAAGUUCCGACCUGCACGAAUGGCGUAAUGAUGGCCAGGCUGUCUCCACCCGAGACUCAGUGAAAUUGAACUCGCUGUGAAGAUGCAGUGUACCCGCGGCAAGACGGAAAGACCCCGUGAACCUUUACUAUAGCUUGACACUGAACAUUGAGCCUUGAUGUGUAGGAUAGGUGGGAGGCUUUGAAGUGUGGACGCCAGUCUGCAUGGAGCCGACCUUGAAAUACCACCCUUUAAUGUUUGAUGUUCUAACGUGGACCCGUAAUCCGGGUUGCGGACAGUGUCUGGUGGGUAGUUUGACUGGGGCGGUCUCCUCCUAAAGAGUAACGGAGGAGCACGAAGGUUGGCUAAUCCUGGUCGGACAUCAGGAGGUUAGUGCAAUGGCAUAAGCCAGCUUGACUGCGAGCGUGACGGCGCGAGCAGGUGCGAAAGCAGGUCAUAGUGAUCCGGUGGUUCUGAAUGGAAGGGCCAUCGCUCAACGGAUAAAAGGUACUCCGGGGAUAACAGGCUGAUACCGCCCAAGAGUUCAUAUCGACGGCGGUGUUUGGCACCUCGAUGUCGGCUCAUCACAUCCUGGGGCUGAAGUAGGUCCCAAGGGUAUGGCUGUUCGCCAUUUAAAGUGGUACGCGAGCUGGGUUUAGAACGUCGUGAGACAGUUCGGUCCCUAUCUGCCGUGGGCGCUGGAGAACUGAGGGGGGCUGCUCCUAGUACGAGAGGACCGGAGUGGACGCAUCACUGGUGUUCGGGUUGUCAUGCCAAUGGCACUGCCCGGUAGCUAAAUGCGGAAGAGAUAAGUGCUGAAAGCAUCUAAGCACGAAACUUGCCCCGAGAUGAGUUCUCCCUGAGACUUAGAGUCUCCUGAAGGAACGUUGAAGACGACGACGUUGAUAGGCCGGGUGUGUAAGCGCAGCGAUGCGUUGAGCUAACCGGUACUAAUGAACCGUGAGGCUUAACCUUACA